AAAAACAUCGCCUCUUGAUUAAUUAUAAGAGGUCCAGCCUGCCCAGUGACAAAAUUCAACGGCCGCGGUACACUAACCGUGCGAAGGUAGCAUAAUCACUUGUUCCUUAAAUAGGGACUAGUAUCAACGGCAUCACGAGGGUUAUACUGUCUCCUCUCUCCAAUCAGUGAAACUGAUCCCCCCGUGAAGAAGCGGGGAUUUAACUAUAAGACGAGAAGACCCCAUGGAGCUUUAAACCCAACAUACACCCCCCACCCAAACACCAACUUAACUUAAAGGGCCUGUAUGUUGGCUUUAGGCUGGGGGGGCCACGGAGUAAAAUUAAACCUCCACAACAAAUGGGCUAACACCCUUAUCCAUGAUUUUACAAAUCUAAGAAUUACCAAAAUAAUGUUUAAUGACCCGAUAAUUCGAUCAAUGAACCAAGUUACCCUGGGGAUAACAGCGCAAUCUACUUCAAGAGCUCUUAUCGACAAGUAGGUUUACGACCUCGAUGUUGGAUCAGGGUAUCCUAGUGGUGCAACCGCUACUAACGGUUCGUUUGUUCAACGAUUAAAACCCU
This 562-nucleotide ribosomal RNA is filed under the name Odorrana wuchuanensis (Wuchuan odorous frog). Its description in RNAcentral is "partial large subunit ribosomal RNA". It matches the Rfam family "Bacterial large subunit ribosomal RNA", at positions 1809 to 2597 of the family's 2925-position model. The record is from RNAcentral. Lineage: Eukaryota; Metazoa; Chordata; Amphibia; Anura; Ranidae.